AGAGUUUGAUCAUGGCUCAGGACGAACGCUGGCGGCGCGCUUAACACAUGCAAGUCGAGCGAGAACCUGGCCUUCGGGCCUGGGGAAAGCGGCGAACGGGUGAGUAACACGUGGGUAACCCACCCUUGGUACCGGGAUAGCCCGAGGAAACUCGGAUUAAUACCGGAUGGCCCAACAGCUCUUCGGGGCGGUUGGAAAAGGUAGCUUCGGCCUCCGACCAAGGACGGGCCCGCGGCGGAUUAGCUUGUUGGUGAGGUAAUGGCUCACCAAGGCGACGAUCCGUAGCUGGUCUGAGAGGACGAUCAGCCACACUGGGACUGAGACACGGCCCAGACUCCUACGGGAGGCAGCAGUGGGGAAUCUUGCGCAAUGGGCGAAAGCCUGACGCAGCGACGCCGCGUGGGGGAAGAAGGCUUUCGGGUUGUAAACCCCUUUCAGGAAGGACGAAGCCACUCGGGUGAAUAGCCCAGAGGGUGACGGUACUUCCAGAAGAAGCCCCGGCUAACUACGUGCCAGCCGCCGCGGUAAUACA
Molecule: ribosomal RNA, 532 nt
Filed under: uncultured bacterium
Lineage: Bacteria
Description: bacterial SSU rRNA
Rfam family: Bacterial small subunit ribosomal RNA
Source: RNAcentral